UUUUCGCGCGCGCGCGCACUCGCUCGCUCGCUCUCCCCUCUCGCUCGCUCGUUUUCUUUCUUUCCUUUUUUUGCGCUCGCCCGCGCGAGGCGCCUUUUCCGCUCGCGCCGCCCGCGCCCGCCUGCUCGCGCCCUCCUUCCUGCUGGGCCCGGCAGAGCGGGGCGGCCGGCAGCUCUCCCCGCCCCCCUGCACCCGCGCUCCGGCGGAGGCGGCGGCGCCGCUCCGCGCUCCGACUCAUUCCAAUAUGGCACGGACGCAGGGCGCAUGCGCCCGCACUCCCCCAACCCCCUCCCUACCCCCAGCCCCACGGUCCUCCCGGCAACCCGCGCCCCUCGCCUAGCGCGUGUGGCACUCACGGCUCAGCCUCCCCGCGGCCACCAGGGCUUGGAGCUGCACGGGAGAGGAGGCGUCGGUGGGCCCAGGUCCAUUGCGCGCCGCGUCCCCAGUCGGCACCUCGCCGAGGACGCCCGCGAGGCGGGGGCGGCGCGGCGUGGGCCUCUGAUCCCCGACGGCGCCGUGGACUGCGUGCGGUUGAGAGACGCGCUCUCGGGCUCCGGAGGCGUGCCCUGGCCCUGCAUGGAUUUUGGAGAGAAAGACCUCACCUUGGCUUCUGGACCGAGCGGUUCAGGACCCGGCGAAGUCCCUGAUCCGUCCAUCCCCGGCGAAGCGCGCCACUGUAGCCCGCACGUGACCACCUCGAGCAAGAUGGCAUUAACAGACAGGCAGCGCCUCGGCAGGUCCCUGAUGGGUACGUGCCGCUGCCGAGGGGGCUGCGCUCGCCGACCCGGCCACUUCGGGAAUCCGCAAGUUAUUUGAGACUUAGCAGGGCACUCUGGUGCCCAGGUCUACCAAAUCCGACUCGAGGACCUCGGCAUACCUGAUGUGCUCCGGAGGCGCUUUGUAAACCGUUUCUCCUGCGGCGAAGAGGGUACAGGGUGAACUAAGAUCUCCGGGAGAAUGAGCAGCUCAAAAAAGCUGUGAAUCAACCUCGAAUCCCGAGGUGCCCACGCGCAGUUAGAUUCGGCGACUCAUCCCUUCCUCUGAAAGCGCAGGUGUCAGUAGGAUGCACACACACCUGCUCCAGAAAGUUCCCUCAGAAGGGAGUCCCAGCGCUAAUGGGACCCGGGAGUGCCAAUGAGAUCAGACUCUCCAGCCCUAGAUGGUGUCAAAGCCCCUGCCUUUGAGAGAAGAGGAGGUGCCCACCCAGACACGCACCCGCCACACAAUAUCUUGGGAUCUUAACACUAGGCAUCUUUCUCUGUUUUGGCAACCUUGGGAAAUACCCACAUUACAAACAACAGAUGAUUUUUUUUUUUAGAAAGAUCUCACCCAAACCUCAUUCAAGAGAUUUGUUGGGAGGGAGGAAUCCAGGAGAGUGCCUGCCUCUGCCAGGGUGAAAAAAGGCAGCCCCAAACCGAA
This 1419-nucleotide long non-coding RNA is filed under the name Cricetulus griseus (Chinese hamster). RNAcentral's name for it is "lncRNA (ENSCGRG00015042081.1)". Lineage: Eukaryota; Metazoa; Chordata; Mammalia; Rodentia; Cricetidae. The record is from RNAcentral.